RNAcentral lists this ribosomal RNA (252 nucleotides) under uncultured bacterium. RNAcentral describes it as "partial 16S ribosomal RNA". It matches the Rfam family "Bacterial small subunit ribosomal RNA", at positions 524 to 776 of the family's 1533-position model. The record is from RNAcentral.
UACGUAGGCAGCAAGCGUUGUUCGGAAUUACUGGGCGUAAAGAGUGUGUAGGUGGUGUCGUAAGUUUGGUGUGAAAUCUCCCGCUUAACUGGGAGGGUGCGCCGAAGACUGCGAUGCUGGAGUAUGGGAGAGGAAAGCGGAAUUCCUGGUGUAGCGGUGAAAUGCGUAGAUAUCAGGAGGAACACCUGCGGUGUAGACGGCUUUCUGGACCAUUACUGACACUGAGACACGAAAGCGUGGGUAGCAAACAGG